UACGUAGGCGGAAAAUUAAGUCAGUAGUGAAAUCCUGCAGCUUAACUGUAGAACUGUUAUUGAUACUGGUUUUCUUGAAUAUAGUUGAGGUAGGCGGAAUGUGUAAUGUAGCGGUGAAAUGCCUAGAUAUUACACAGAACACCGAUUGCGAAGGCAGCUUACUAAGCUAUGAUUGACGCUGAGGUACGAAAGCGUGGGGAGCGAACAGGAUUAGAUACCCUGGUAGUCC
This 229-nucleotide ribosomal RNA is filed under the name uncultured bacterium. RNAcentral's name for it is "partial 16S ribosomal RNA". It matches the Rfam family "Bacterial small subunit ribosomal RNA", at positions 568 to 796 of the family's 1533-position model. The record is from RNAcentral.